AAAAUGGCUAUUAUGGGCAAAACUGUGCACACACAUGUGGCAAGUGUAAAAUUGGAACUGUAUGUAACCGUAUCUCAGGAAUUUGUCAAGAAGGCUGUCAGAAUGGCUGGAGUGGAUCAAGUUGUCAAGUGUGUGAUGAUAUGUUUUACGGGGAGAACUGCACUAGUAAAUGCGGUCAUUGUAAACCUGGAACAUAUUGCCACAAUGUGACAGGGGUUUGUGAAGACGGUUGCAAUAUCCACUGGAACGGUUCUCAUUGUGAUGAGUGUAAAGAUGGAUUUUAUGGAUCCAGUUGUGGUGAAUCUUGUGGAUAUUGCAAUCAAAGUACAUGUAAUAAAAAAAACGGACACUGUCUCACUGGAUGUCAGGGGGAGUGGAAAGGUGUCAG
Molecule: long non-coding RNA, 388 nt
Organism: Saccostrea echinata
Lineage: Eukaryota; Metazoa; Mollusca; Bivalvia; Ostreida; Ostreidae
Exons: 3
Source: RefSeq, a predicted model, not a curated record